UACGUAGGGCGCAAGCGUUGUCCGGAAUUAUUGGGCGUAAAAGAGCUCGUAGGCGGUUUGUCGCGUCUGACCUGUGGAAAACCUAAGGCGUACAACCUUGGGCUUGCAGUGGGGUACGGGCGAGACUAGAGUGAUGUAGGGGAGACUGGAAUUCCUGGGUGUAGCGGUGAAAUGCGCCAGAUAUCAGGAGGAACACCGAGUGGCGAAGGCAGGAUCGUCUGGGGCAUUAACUGACGCUGAGGAGCGAAAGCAUGGGGAGCGAACAGG
This 267-nucleotide ribosomal RNA is filed under the name uncultured bacterium. RNAcentral describes it as "partial 16S ribosomal RNA". It matches the Rfam family "Bacterial small subunit ribosomal RNA", at positions 524 to 776 of the family's 1533-position model. The record is from RNAcentral.